AGGAAAUCAAACUCCUUUAGAGACCUCACCAUGGCCUGGACCCUGUUUCUCCUCACCCUUCUCAGUUACUGCUCAGGUGUCCAUUCACAGCCGACUUUGACUCAGCCUCCCUCACAGUCUGUGUCCCCGAGAGAAACAACUAAACUUUCCUGCACCAUCAGCAGUGAUAGUACUACUGUUUACUGGUAUCAACAGAGACCCGGAAAGCCCCCUCGCUUUGUACACUGUGAUGGCUGCAGCAGCAGGGGAGAUGGGAUCCCAAAUCGGUUCACUGCUUCUCGAUCUGGGAAUGUCGGCUAUUUAACCAUCUCCGACUGCCAGCCUGAAGAUGAGGCUGAUUAUUACAGUGGCAUGUGGUACAGCAGCGGUAGCCAGUUCCACGGUGGUGAAAUCUGA
This is a non-coding RNA of Gekko japonicus, 396 nucleotides long. NCBI's taxonomy places the organism in Eukaryota, Metazoa, Chordata, Lepidosauria, Squamata, Gekkonidae. The record is from the annotation of a RefSeq genome assembly.